This 305-nucleotide ribosomal RNA is filed under the name uncultured bacterium. RNAcentral's name for it is "bacterial SSU rRNA". It matches the Rfam family "Bacterial small subunit ribosomal RNA", at positions 337 to 634 of the family's 1533-position model. The record is from RNAcentral.
UCCUACGGGGGGCAGCAGUGGGGAAUAUUGCACAAUGGGCGAAAGCCUGAUGCAGCAACGCCGCGUGAAGGAAGAAGGGUUUCGGCUCGUAAACCUCUGUCAGCAGGGAAGAACGGUCACUGUGCUAAUCAGCAGUGAAUUGACGGUACCUGCAAAGGAAGCACCGGCUAACUCCGUGCCAGCAGCCGCGGUAAUACGGAGGGUGCGAGCGUUAAUCGGAAUUACUGGGCGUAAAGCGCUCGUAGGCGGUAUGUCGAGUCAAGGGUGAAAUCCCCGCGCUCAACGUGGGAACUGCCUUUGAAACU